AAAUGCUCCACAUGGCUCCAGUUACCCUGCAGAAAAGAAAUCAUCAGCUUUCUGCAGCAUCAGAAUUAGCAGCAUCUUCCUGUCCCAAGAGAAGAGGGUAUGGGAGGAUGGCACGGUUCAGGGCUUAGGGGAGGAUAGGGGAGAAAAAGUGGAAGCAAAGGGAGAGGCCCAGGAAGGAUUUUGUUGCGACAUGUUACCUGGGCUGCACCUGCUGUAUGCAAGAGAAGAGGCUGGGAGUCCCCUCUGCAGGGUGUUCAUGCCCCAUCUCUGUGCCACGAGGAGAUGGGCUGCUGAAGGAUAUAUCAGCACAACUUCUCUGCUCCAACUAGUCUCCAUUGCAAAGCAUCUCCUAGUGUCUUUGGAAGAAGGAUCUAUGGUGUUAUAUGUGAACAAAGAUGUAAAGACUAGUAAGAUGUCAAGAUUUGAUGGGGAUAUCCAGACAACUUGGAGCCAAGUCCCCACAGCUGGAUCAGACAACUUUGGUGACAUCUCACAGUGUGGAUUAUCAAGCCAAUGUAUCAGCCUGGAGCCUA
This 533-nucleotide non-coding RNA is filed under the name Pongo abelii (Sumatran orangutan). The record is from RNAcentral. Lineage: Eukaryota; Metazoa; Chordata; Mammalia; Primates; Hominidae.